GACAGGUUUGCAAUUCUCUCACGAUUCUGUGAGAAAUGUCCUUUGCUUGGCAUGAAGAAACAGUGGGAGCCUAUAUUCAGUGGGCCUGUUGUGAAUCUCAUCAACUAUGGCUGAAAAACACAUUGUGCUUCAUUAGGUUCCCAAGACAAGGCUAACAGAAGGCUAACACAUAGUUGAGUUUUCCUGGUUUUGACCACUGCCUGACUCUGGACUACUUUCCCGCCUGCCUGAUCAUCCUGCCUGCCCUGACCUUCAAUCUGCCUGCCCUUCGGUACCUAUUGGACUCUGAACUGGUUUUGAUCUUUUGCCUGUACACGACUAUUCUCUUGCCU
This 332-nucleotide long non-coding RNA is filed under the name Salmo salar (Atlantic salmon). RNAcentral describes it as "lncRNA (ENSSSAG00000100024.1)". Lineage: Eukaryota; Metazoa; Chordata; Actinopteri; Salmoniformes; Salmonidae. The record is from RNAcentral.